UUGAGUUCCUUCAUUUCCGCUCCCUCCCACGCAUCGUCGUCGCACGUCCUUCUUCUCCCAAGCGAAACGCUGCCGUCUCUUUCUUCCAUCUCCUCGAUCCACUGAUGAACGAAUUCCAUCCACUGAUGCAGUUCCCCUCUCUUCCCUUCGCCGCACCGCCCCUAAACCAUCCAUACAACCACCAUGGCUGCUGUCUCCGAGCACACGCGCGUCGCAGGGCAGCUUAACCGUUCGACGGAAUGUCUCAACGGACCUCUGUUCCUCCCCGGCCGCUCCGUUGUUGACCACCAGUGCAAAUUCCGAUUCCGAUACACCCUCUACGCCGUCGCUGCACAGCCUGCGUCGCUAGGAAUUUCAGCUCAUGAAUGCACAAUCAGUGUGUUCACCAAACAACGAGAGCUGCUGUUUUCAGUGGCAUCGAUGUUGCGUAGAAGCUACCAUAUAUAUGCCCGCCAAGUGUUCACCAAAACGCCAAAGCUGCUCAACUAUCUAUCUUCGGGAAGUUGGUUGACGAUGUCAUCAACCAAGGUGUGCGUUCCCACAGAGUCAGGCCUACACACAAUCUGGAAUGGUCAUUCUCCAAACAAAAGGAUCUUAAGUGGCUGGUGAGGCCUACAGAGCUACCGACGGUUUGUGUAGUGGUGUAAAAAUCAUACUCAGUACUCACCGUAUUUAUUACUAUAUUGCUUCAGGAGUAGCUAAGUUUAUUUUCAUAGGCGUCUUUAGUCAGGUUUAUAUGGGUGAUUUCUUAUUGUCUUCCCAGGUAAUUCCACCCGAAGGGAACACUUCUCUACGGUUACAAGGUUCUCAUUUCAACGCCAUACAGAGAACUACACACAGAGGUUUCUCCUAUAGGAUCCCUAGCAUAAGCACCCACCCGUAUAAACAUGUUAAAAAGACCGAGGGAAAAACUAAACUACUUCAUUUCACAACAUAGCUUACAUAUGGUUUUCCCUUUCGGGAACCCAAAGAAAUUACCUUACUACCUUCCCAGACUUAUGUUACAAAUGCCUUGAUUACACAGGCUUUAUUACAGUGGGAAAUGGUACUGCUACUAGAGAGCAGAUAGUUUUCUGGCUAGCUGCUCUAACUACUUGCUGCUCUGAUGGCUUAUGUUGUGCUCUCGAUGGUUGUGUUCUCCAAUGCUGCAAAGAGCCUUCUUAUAUAGGCAAGAUGGCUGGCUCAAAUAGUGCUUUCAUGCAUUAUUUACCUCACCUUUCUCCAUGGCCAUGAUGCACCUUUUUUAUAGGUCCUAGGUCUCCUUUAUAGGUGCAUACAUGCAUGGUGAUAAGGGGUUUUUUGGCUGCCACUAUCAUCUUUGGCUACAUUAGUACGUGGCCUCCUUCAUAUAGGGAGUUUCUUGUACUUCCAUGAUGAUGUCUGCGACAACUAUAUCAGAUAUGUAGCCUUAUCUUGUGCUUCCUUGACUAUCUCCAUAUGCGUACCACAAUUCAUAGGAUCUCUUGUAUUUGUGAGAUCUAGCAUGCUAAUGAUGGAUCUUAUAUGAUUAUAUAGUUACUAUUUAUUAUUAUUAUUAUUAAUCAAUUUUUUUAUAUAUUUUUAAUUUGUACCUUAGUUUCCAAUUCUUACUCAUAUUCUUAUUCAAAUUAUAUUCUAUCAACUAUUCGGGUAUCUGUGUGUAUAUGUCCUCCCCGCCCGAAUAAUUGAUAGUAUUACCAAUUAAAAUUCUGGCUUCUGCCCAUGGCCUGCAAUAUCCAUGUGAUCAUCAUCUGAAAGAUUAAAAUCAAAUUUUGAAAGAUUUAGUUCAAUUUUUAAAUCAUAUUCUUUCUUUAUUUUUUCAAAUUUUUGCAUGAAUUCAAGUCUUGAUUAUUUUAAAAUUUCUUCUUUUAACUCUUCUUUCCAUAAUUUUGAGGUAUCUUCUAAUGUUUCGUUUAUCUUCAGAUCUAUAUAUUCAGAAUCUAAAGGAUCCACUCCUUUUACUAGGCAGUCUUUGCAUGUUUGAUAUUUAGGAGAUUCUUCUUCUUUUACCUUCUUUAAUAUUAAUGUUUCUUCUUUUACAUUCUUUGUAUUUGAUGAAGAAGAAAUAUGCAACUCUAAAGGUUUCAAGUUUUUGACCUUUUCUUUUAUGGCCUUGACUAAUUUUAUGUCUUCAGAGUUAAAAUACCUUUGGCCAUUCUUUCUUAAUUUAGCGUAUAAAGGUCCAGCUAGUUUUGCUAAAUUAUCUAUAUAAUUUCUUGCAUAAUUUACAAUUCCUAAGAAUUGUUGUAGGACCUUUUUGUCAUUCAUAGCAUCAUGAAAUUGUAUUUUCUUAGCGAUAUGCUCUUGCAGAUGUAUUUUUCCUUCUCCUAUCUCGUGCCCAAGAAAAUUUAUUUUCUCUUUACAAAUCUCCAUUUUCUUUUUAGAUAAUAUUAGGCCAUUUUGUUCUACCUUUCUAAAGAAGACUUCAAGGCGCAUUUUUCAAUCCGAAGGGCAUUACCAGCCAUUCAUAAUGACCUUGAGGGCAUGUAAACGUUGUUCAAGGAAUAGAUUCCUCAGCCAUUUUUACUUGCCAAAACCCGGCCUUUAGAUCAAACUUAGAAAAAUAUUUCCUUCCUUGUAUUCUAUUAAUCCACUCUUGCUUAUUGGGUAUAUUGAAUGCAUCGUCUAUUGUAUUAUCAUUAAGUCUCUUGUAAUUAAUAACCAUUAUAGAUUUUCCCCUGACUUCCUCAGCAUGAUUCCUAACUAUAAAGGCAGCUGACCUAUGAGGGCUUCUGCUUUCCCUAAUGGCUUUUAACUUCAAUAACUCUUCAAUAUGCAUUUUGAAUUCUUCUAUAUCCUUGGGAGCAGUUUCUAUUGGUCCUGACUUAAUUAUGUAAUCAGGGUUGAUAAUAUUUAUUUUGCAAACUAUGGAAUUCUUAUCCCAAUGUUUCAUUGGUAUUUCUCCAAUAAUUUGUAUAUAUUCUAGUUUUUGUACUAUUUUGUCUAUAUCUUUUUUGGUUUUUAUAUCUCUGUACCAAUUUGGCGAGAAUGAUUGUAGACCUAUACAUUCUAUACAUGUAUUUUCUA
Brachypodium distachyon (stiff brome) is the source of this 3006-nucleotide RNA transcript. RefSeq lists it as uncharacterized. NCBI's taxonomy places the organism in Eukaryota, Viridiplantae, Streptophyta, Magnoliopsida, Poales, Poaceae. The transcript has 5 exons. The record is from RefSeq and is a predicted model, not a curated record.